AUUGAACGCUGGCGGAAUGCUUUACACAUGCAAGUCGAGCGGCAGCGCGGGGCAACCUGGCGGCGAGCGGCGAACGGGUGAGUAAUGCAUCGGAACAUGUCCAUGUCGUGGGGGAUAGCCCGGCGAAAGCCGGAUUAAUACCGCAUAACGCCCGAGAGGGGAAAGUGGGGACUCGCAAGGGCCUCACGCGAUUGGGUUGGCCGAUGUCCGAUUAGCUAGUUGGCGGGGAAGAGCCCACCAAGGCGAUGAUCGGUAGCUGGUCUGAGAGGAUGAUCAGCCACACUGGGACUGAGACACGGCCCAGACUCCUACGGGAGGCAGCAGU
This 325-nucleotide ribosomal RNA is filed under the name uncultured bacterium. RNAcentral describes it as "bacterial SSU rRNA". It matches the Rfam family "Bacterial small subunit ribosomal RNA", at positions 29 to 355 of the family's 1533-position model. The record is from RNAcentral.